RNAcentral lists this ribosomal RNA (393 nucleotides) under uncultured Russulaceae. RNAcentral describes it as "eukaryotic LSU rRNA". The stretch from base 78 to 231 matches the Rfam family "5.8S ribosomal RNA". The record is from RNAcentral. Lineage: Eukaryota; Fungi; Basidiomycota; Agaricomycetes; Russulales; Russulaceae.
AUCUGCGUUUUUACACAGACACCCUUUAAAUGCAUGUGUAGAACGNCUUACUUUUUGCGAUCGCACGCAAUCAAUACAACUUUCAACAACGNAUCUCUUGUCUCUCGCAUCGAUGAAGAACGCAGCGAAAUGCGAUACGUAAUGUGAAUUGCAGAAUUCAGUGAAUCAUCGAAUCUUUGAACGCACCUUGCGCCCCUUGCUAUUCCGAGGGGCACACCCGUUUGAGUGUCGUGAAUACUCUCAACCUUCUUGGUUUCUUUGAACCAGGAAGGCUUGGACUUUGGAGGUGUAUUGUUGCUGGCCUCUUUUGAAGCCAGCUCCUCCUANAUGAAUGGGUGGGNCCGCUUUGCUGAUCCUCGACGUGAUAAGCAUUUGUUUCUACGNCUUGGGUUU